This 453-nucleotide ribosomal RNA is filed under the name uncultured bacterium. Its description in RNAcentral is "bacterial SSU rRNA". It matches the Rfam family "Bacterial small subunit ribosomal RNA", at positions 340 to 786 of the family's 1533-position model. The record is from RNAcentral.
UACGGGAGGCAGCAGUGGGAAUAUUGCACAAUGGGCGCAAGCCUGAUGCAGCCAUGCCGCGUGUAUGAAAAAGGCCUUCGGGUUGUAAAGUACUUUCAGUCGUGAGGAAGGUGUUAAGGUUAAUAACCUUAGCAAUUGACGUUAGCGACAGAAGAAGCACCGGCUAACUCCGUGCCAGCAGCCGCGGUAAUACGGAGGGUGCGAGCGUUAAUCGGAAUUACUGGGCGUAAAGGGCACGCAGGCGGUUAAUUAAGUUGGAUGUGAAAGUCCCCGGGCUUAACCUGGGAAUGGCAUUCAAGACUGGUUAGCUAGAGUCUUGUAGAGGGGGUAGAAUUCCAUGUGUAGCGGUGAAAUGCGUAGAGAUGUGGAGGAAUACCGGUGGCGAAGGCGGCCCCUGGACAAAGACUGACGCUCAUGUGCGAAAGCGUGGGGAGCAAACAGGGAUUAGAUACC